RNAcentral lists this long non-coding RNA (275 nucleotides) under Papio anubis (olive baboon). RNAcentral's name for it is "lncRNA (ENSPANG00000043904.1)". The record is from RNAcentral. Lineage: Eukaryota; Metazoa; Chordata; Mammalia; Primates; Cercopithecidae.
AUGAAGAUUCAUUACCUUUUCUCUGCUCUUUUCUUCCUUGGCCUGCUGUCUACCUCAGCUCUAUGCAACUCAUUUUCAUCUAGCAGUACGUCUCCAAAACCUGAAUCUUCACAAGAAAGCCGUACAGCAAUUAACCAGUGUUGCAAGGAUUGCCUCUGUAAUAAAGGUAAACCUGGGAGCUAUUGCUUAGAAUUUUCAAAAAUGUACAAGUGGUAGGAUGAUUCCAGGGCAGUGCAUGACUACAUAUAUCAUGUAAACACACCGGCCUAGAAAAC